GCGGACAGAUGGGAGCUUGCUCCCUGAUGUUAGCGGCGGACGGGUGAGUAACACGUGGGUAACCUGCCUGUAAGACUGGGAUAACUCCGGGAAACCGGGGCUAAUACCGGAUGGUUGUUUGAACCGCAUGGUUCAAACAUAAAAGGUGGCUUCGGCUACCACUUACAGAUGGACCCGCGGCGCAUUAGCUAGUUGGUGAGGUAACGGCUCACCAAGGCAACGAUGCGUAGCCGACCUGAGAGGGUGAUCGGCCACACUGGGACUGAGACACGGCCCAGACUCCUACGGGAGGCAGCAGUAGGGAAUCUUCCGCAAUGGACGAAAGUCUGACGGAGCAACGCCGCGUGAGUGAUGAAGGUUUUCGGAUCGUAAAGCUCUGUUGUUAGGGAAGAACAAGUACCGUUCGAAUAGGGCGGUACCUUGACGGUACCUAACCAGAAAGCCACGGCUAACUACGUGCCAGCAGCCGCGGUAAUACGUAGGUGGCAAGCGUUGUCCGGAAUUAUUGGGCGUAAAGGGCUCGCAGGCGGUUUCUUAAGUCUGAUGUGAAAGCCCCCGGCUCAACCGGGGAGGGUCAUUGGAAACUGGGGAACUUGAGUGCAGAAGAGGAGAGUGGAAUUCCACGUGUAGCGGUGAAAUGCGUAGAGAUGUGGAGGAACACCAGUGGCGAAGGCGACUCUCUGGUCUGUAACUGACGCUGAGGAGCGAAAGCGUGGGGAGCGAACAGGAUUAGAUACCCUGGUAGUCCACGCCGUAACGAUGAGUGCUAAGUGUUAGGGGUUUCCGCCCCUUAGUGCUGCAGCUAACGCAUUAAGCACU
RNAcentral lists this ribosomal RNA (819 nucleotides) under Bacillus tequilensis. RNAcentral's name for it is "bacterial SSU rRNA". It matches the Rfam family "Bacterial small subunit ribosomal RNA", at positions 66 to 868 of the family's 1533-position model. The record is from RNAcentral. Lineage: Bacteria; Bacillati; Bacillota; Bacilli; Caryophanales; Bacillaceae.